RNAcentral lists this ribosomal RNA (253 nucleotides) under uncultured bacterium. Its description in RNAcentral is "partial 16S ribosomal RNA". It matches the Rfam family "Bacterial small subunit ribosomal RNA", at positions 524 to 776 of the family's 1533-position model. The record is from RNAcentral.
UACGAAGGGGGCUAGCGUUGCUCGGAAUCACUGGGCGUAAAGCGCACGUAGGCGGAUCGUUAAGUCAGGGGUGAAAUCCUGGAGCUCAACUCCAGAACUGCCUUUGAUACUGGCGACCUUGAGUUCGGGAGAGGUGAGUGGAACUGCGAGUGUAGAGGUGAAAUUCGUAGAUAUUGGGAAGAACACCGGUGGCGAAGGCGGCGCUCUGGACCGAGACUGACGCUGAGGCGCGAAAGCGUGGGGAGCAAACAGG